This 292-nucleotide ribosomal RNA is filed under the name uncultured bacterium. Its description in RNAcentral is "partial 16S ribosomal RNA". It matches the Rfam family "Bacterial small subunit ribosomal RNA", at positions 333 to 642 of the family's 1533-position model. The record is from RNAcentral.
AGGUUUCUACGGGACGCAGCAGUGGGGAAUAUUGCACAAUGGGGGAAACCCCGAUGCAGCAACGCCGCGUGAGUGAAGAAGUCAUUCGUGAUGUAAAGCUCUAUCGGCAGGGAAGAAAAUGACGGUACCUGAGUAAGAAGCCCCGGCUAACUACGUGCCAGCAGCCGCGGUAAUACGUAGGUGGCAAGCGUCAUCCGGAUUUACUGGGUGUAAAGGGAGCGUAGACGGCCAGACAAGUCUGAAGUGAAAAUCCAGCGCUUAACGUUGGAAGUGCUUUGGAAACUGCCGGGCU